This 90-nucleotide transfer RNA is filed under the name Candidatus Saccharimonadota bacterium. Its description in RNAcentral is "tRNA-Ser". It matches the Rfam family "tRNA". From Rfam's summary of the family: Transfer RNA (tRNA) molecules are approximately 80 nucleotides in length. Their secondary structure includes four short double-helical elements and three loops (D, anti-codon, and T loops). The record is from RNAcentral. Lineage: Bacteria; Candidatus Saccharimonadota.
GGAGAGGUCGCAUAGUGGUCUAGUGCGCUACCUUGGAAAGGUAGUAUGCUCGCAAGGGCAUCGAGGGUUCAAAUCCCUCCCUCUCCGCCA